This is a long non-coding RNA of Sinocyclocheilus grahami, 366 nucleotides long. RefSeq lists it as uncharacterized. The record is from RefSeq and is a predicted model, not a curated record. NCBI's taxonomy places the organism in Eukaryota, Metazoa, Chordata, Actinopteri, Cypriniformes, Cyprinidae. The transcript is spliced from 3 exons.
UUUGUUUAGGGGGAGGUUUGUCCAGAUUGAGACCUUUAAAAGUGUGGACCAGACAACUUCUUUAUUUUUGACCCAGAGGAGGCCAAGGGACAGAGCUUGAGCUAUUGCGGAGGGUGAAGUUCAGCAGGCAUGAUGCAGGCUCUCUGGGCUCUGUGGUUGUCUGCUUUUACAGCUCUGCAUUGCGCUUCACCACUGUUUUUGGAGAAGGAAAGCACUGGCUCCAGAAUCUGUAAGCCUGCUCCGAAGUGGGAGAUCGAUGGCGAGAUUCCGAUGAAGGACCUUCUAGGAAAUGUAGUUGUUGUGGCUCUUCUUAAAGCGAGCUGACGGUUCUGUCUCACGCAGGCUGCCAGGUUGGGAGACCUGAGU